RNAcentral lists this ribosomal RNA (462 nucleotides) under uncultured bacterium. Its description in RNAcentral is "partial 16S ribosomal RNA". It matches the Rfam family "Bacterial small subunit ribosomal RNA", at positions 28 to 507 of the family's 1533-position model. The record is from RNAcentral.
GAUAAACGCUGGCGGCGUGCUUAACACAUGCAAGUCGAACGAAGUUUUUCCUUCGGGAGCAACUUAGUGGCGGACGGGUGAGUAACGCGUGGGUAACCUGCCCUGUACAGGGGGACAACAGCUGUAAACGGCUGCUAAUACCGCAUAAGCCCUUAGCACUGCAUGGUGCAUAGGGAAAAGGAGCAAUCCGGUACAGGAUGGACCCGCGUCGGAUUAGCCAGUUGGCAGGGUAACGGCCUACCAAAGCGACGAUCAGUAGCCGAUCUGAGAGGAUGUACGGCCACAGUGGGACGGAGACACGGCCCAGACUCCUACGGGAGGCAGCAGUGGGGAAUAUUGCACAAUGGAGGAAACUCUGAUGCAGCGACGCCGCGUGAGUGAAGAAGUAUUUCGGUAUGUAAAGCUCUAUCAGCAGGGAAGAAAAUGACGGUACCUGACUAAGAAGCACCGGCUAAAUACGUG